Molecule: ribosomal RNA, 253 nt
Filed under: uncultured bacterium
Lineage: Bacteria
Description: partial 16S ribosomal RNA
Rfam family: Bacterial small subunit ribosomal RNA
Source: RNAcentral
UACGUAGGGGGCAAGCGUUGUCCGGAUUUAUUGGGCGUAAAGAGCGUGUAGGCGGCCUGGAAGGUCAGCUGUGAAAACUCGAGGCUCAACCUCGAGACGUCGGUUGAAACCACCUGGCUAGAGUCCGGAAGAGGAGUGUGGAAUUCCCGGUGUAGCGGUGAAAUGCGCAGAUAUCGGGAAGAACACCCGUGGCGAAGGCGGCACUCUGGGACGGUACUGACGCUGAGGCGCGAAAGCCAGGGGAGCGAACGGG